GAUGAACGCUGGCGGCGUGCCUAAUACAUGCAAGUCGAGCGAACAGACGAGGAGCUUGCUCCUCUGACGUUAGCGGCGGACGGGUGAGUAACACGUGGAUAACCUACCUAUAAGACUGGGAUAACUUCGGGAAACCGGCGCUAAUACCGGAUAAUAUAUUGAACCGCAUGGUUCAAUAGUGAGAGACGGUUUUGCUGUCACUUAUAGAUGGAUCCGCGCCGCAUUGGCUAGUUGGUAAGGUAACGGCUUACCAAGGCAACGAUGCGUAGCCGACCUGAGAGGGUGAUCGGCCACACUGGAACGGUGACACGGUCCAGACUCCUACGGGAGGCAGCAGUAGGGAAUCUUCCGGAAUGGGCGAGAGCCUGACGGAGCAACGCCGCGUGAGUGAUGAAGGUCUUCGGAUCGUAAAACUCUGUUAUUAGGGAAGAACAAAUGUGUAAGUAACUAUGCACGUCUUGACGGUACCUAAUCAGAAAGCCACGGCUAACUACGUG
Molecule: ribosomal RNA, 497 nt
Filed under: uncultured bacterium
Lineage: Bacteria
Description: partial 16S ribosomal RNA
Rfam family: Bacterial small subunit ribosomal RNA
Source: RNAcentral